RNAcentral lists this long non-coding RNA (1125 nucleotides) under Heterocephalus glaber (naked mole-rat). RNAcentral's name for it is "lncRNA (ENSHGLG00000042093.1)". Lineage: Eukaryota; Metazoa; Chordata; Mammalia; Rodentia; Bathyergidae. The record is from RNAcentral.
AGAAAGCAGACUGGGCUAUUGUGAGAAAGGCUAUGAUAAAUUUGCAACAAUUUUUGACUUAAGAUUUCCUUUUCUUAAGGUUUCUUUGAAUGAUAUGAGUAUAGUUACCAAGUCUCUCUAACUUAACAUUUAUAUGGAAUUUUUUUUUUUUUUUUUUUGGUACCGGGGAUUGAACUCCAGACCUUGCGCUUGUGAGGCAGGAGGCAGAACCACUGAGGUAAAUCCCUUGCCCUGGAAUGUUUUUAAAUUUUUUUCACAAUGUAGGCAAAUGGCCAUAAAAUGGAACAAAAUAAAAUGAGGUAUGUCUGUGCUGGAUUUUAUAUUUAUUUGUGUAGUUACCUUUAUUUCUUCACAUGGCGUUGAUUUACUGUUUAGCGUCUUUUCAUUUUAACCUGAAGGACUCUAUUUAGUACUUCUUAUAGGGCAGGUUUGCUAGUGAUGAGGACCUCAACUUUUGAUUAUCUGGGAAUGUCUGAAUUUAUGCUUCAUUUUUGAAGAAUUGUUUUGCAACACAUAGAAUUCUUACUUGACAGAUUUUUUUCUUUUAUGACUUUAAAUAUGUCUUUCUAUUGCCCUAGUCUCCUUGACUGCUGAUGAGAAAUUAGCUUGUAUGUGACAAUCACUUUUCUCUUACUGCUUUCAACCAAGCCACAACUGUGUUCCUUUCCAACAAUUCAUCUGAUUCACUAUCCUCUCAGUGCAACUGGAAAAUUAUGAUGUGCUCAUCUUUCAAUCCCCCUACAGAUUAUUAUCAUCCUUGAAUGAGGAAAGAAAUGUAAAAGUGACAUACCUGAAGUCAUACUGUGAGCUAGGUCUGCUACUCAUAUGUCUGAUGGUUUAUUUCAUUAUAACACUGUGUAAAUGGCCUUGCAAGAUGAUGAGAGGACACAGGUAUAUUCAGAGGAUGAAGCAGAAUUGAGAGAAGUGUUGUGCCCAGAUUGCAAGGUCCCCAAAGACCACCAAGGAACCGAUUCCGAUGCAAACACACGAGGGUCGUUUAUUCAAGCUUGAGCAGGGACUCUCAACUGUCACCGAUGCAGCAGGUCAAGAUUGAGAGCCCUGACUCUAAAACACCAGGGGUUUUUAUAGAGGUUACAGCAAGGCGCGGGGUUUUGAAAAGGCGGG